GUUCUAUAUUGUCCUAAGACUUGCUUUUUUCAUUGAACCCUCUACAUCUGGGACAUCACUUCACGCCAGAUACAGCCAGGUCGCCCCAUUCUGUUAAUGUCCAAGUUGUGUCCCACGGCCCCUGACGCACAGCGCGGAGCUGUUAUGACUGUUUGGGUCAGAAUGGCCCAUUUGUGGUCACCUUCAGUUCUCAGAACAUGGUUCCUUUGAACGUGCUCUGCAGCCUGUUUACAUGUGACACAGUGAGCUGGUUUGGGGAAAACCCGUCAGGUCUGGGCUUGUCGGGUGGGGGAAGGUCUGAGGUGCCCUGUCACCCACACACUCUAGACUGAGUCCGAGAUGGUGCUGGUGGGGAAAGUAAAAGCAGGCCCCAGCACCAUGGUCCGGGAUGUUCCCAGUUCCCAAGAGGCCACCUCCACAUCUACGGGUUCCAGAAUGUCAAACCUUCACAGCAUUGUGACUCGUUCACAGAAUGGUGGUGCCUGGUAAUUCACAAAGCAACUCCAGGGGUGACUCACCGGUGAAAACAGAAGACCGGCCCACGUGCCAGCAUCUGCAGGACAGCGUCCAGGAGCGGGUGCAGCCAGCUUCAGGGGGCCAACGCUCCAGCACCUUCCUCAGGCCCCGUGAAUGGGGCCUGGUCGUCUCCCUGGAAGGAACCAGGAGGUCAGAGGACAGCAGGCCAGCCCUUCCGGCCCCAGGAUGGCGUUCAGAAGCUUCUAGAAGCCUCCCAGCCCUUACCUCCUGCCAAAGAUCGAGCCAGUGCUGCCGGCACCCGGGCUGCCCCCACGCACUCAGGAAACAAGGAUGCCAGUGGGGUGGAAUGCCCUCCUCAGUAAUGUUCUGUGCAGCCCGUGCCGUCCUGGAGGAGCAGGGAGCUAACUGGCUGGUAGAUGCAGAGAGGCGGGGCUGUUUCUUUCUCCUGGCUUUGUUCACAUGAGGGAAUUCACAAGGCCAUCCUGGAACGCUACAGUUUGCCUUGUGGAGUUGGCCAGUUCUCCCCCAGCAACUGGGUAUGUUUUCGGUGCAUAACGAGUCAUGUAAAAACCAGGACAAUGUGACCUCUGUCAGGGCUCAGCCGUGAGGGGACUGGGAGGGGAGACGGUGGGGACAGUGGCAGCUACGCCUCUAUAGAGCACGUCUGGCUGGGCGCUGUCCAGGCCCUUUGCACUUAUGAACAUUUAACUCAGAUUACGACCCCACAGAGCAGGUGCGAUGGAUCGCCAUUUUACAGAUAAGGACUCUGAGACACAGAGCCGGUAAGUAACUUGCCCAAGGUCACACAGCUAGGAAAUGGCCGAGCCGGGACUUGAACCCAGGCGACCCAGCUCCACGGCUUGUGUUCUUAACUCUGUUGAGUUUUGUGUGGUUGUCUCUAAUCCAAAGACGUUGGCAAUGGGUGGGCUCUCGGUGACAUACACCGUGGCUGACUCGUCCCCCAUUCCCAGCCUUUCUUCCAUGCCUGCAUCUACCACAGGUCCAGAAAGGCUAUUUGCUUUCCCAGGCUCCCUUGCAGUUCUGGCCAACGAGCUGGAGGCAGAAGUCAACUGGGGAGAUUGUGGGAAAGGUUUUCAUUUCCUGAUAAAAGGAGUAAAGGUAGCUGAUGCCCCCUGUGCCCUUUAUUGCUGUCUUGAAUGUGGAUGCAAUGCCUGGAGUCAUGGCGGCCAUCUCGUGAUCUGAGCGAAAGGCUAGGAGAAGCACGGACAGUGACCUGGAACGACCUCCCCAGUCCCAAGGCCUCUGUUUGUAUGGGAAAAUUAAACCCUGUCUGUU
Equus caballus (horse) is the source of this 1773-nucleotide non-coding RNA. NCBI's taxonomy places the organism in Eukaryota, Metazoa, Chordata, Mammalia, Perissodactyla, Equidae. The record is from RefSeq and is a predicted model, not a curated record.